GACGAACGCUGGCGGCGCGCCUAACACAUGCAAGUCGAACGGAGCUGUUUUCUCUGAAGUUUUCGGAUGGAAGAGAGUUCAGCUUAGUGGCGAACGGGUGAGUAACACGUGAGCAACCUGCCUUUCAGUGGGGGACAACAUUUGGAAACGAAUGCUAAUACCGCAUAAGACCACAGUGUCGCAUGGCACAGGGGUCAAAGGAUUUAUCCGCUGAAAGAUGGGCUCGCGUCCGAUUAGCUAGAUGGUGAGGUAACGGCCCACCAUGGCGACGAUCGGUAGCCGGACUGAGAGGUUGAACGGCCACAUUGGGACUGAGACACGGCCCAGACUCCUACGGGAGGCAGCAGUGGGGAAUAUUGCACAAUGGGGGAAACCCUGAUGCAGCGACGCCGCGUGGAGGAAGAAGGUCUUCGGAUUGUAAACUCCUGUCCCAGGGGACGAUAAUGACGGUACCCUGGGAGGAAGCACCGGCUAACUACGUGCCAGCAGCCGCGGUAAAACGUAGGGUGCAAGCGUUGUCCGGAAUUACUGGGUGUAAAGGGAGCGCAGGCGGAUUGGCAAGUUGGGAGUGAAAUCUAUGGGCUCAACCCAUAAAUUGCUUUCAAAACUGUCAGUCUUGAGUGGUGUAGAGGUAGGCGGAAUUCCCGGUGUAGCGGUGGAAUGCGUAGAUAUCGGGAGGAACACCAGUGGCG
Molecule: ribosomal RNA, 692 nt
Filed under: uncultured Lachnospiraceae bacterium
Lineage: Bacteria; Bacillati; Bacillota; Clostridia; Lachnospirales; Lachnospiraceae
Description: bacterial SSU rRNA
Rfam family: Bacterial small subunit ribosomal RNA
Source: RNAcentral